GCAAGUCGAGCGGACAGAUGGGAGCUUGCUCCCUGAUGUUAGCGGCGGACGGGUGAGUAACACGUGGGUAACCUGCCUGUAAGACUGGGAUAACUCCGGGAAACCGGGGCUAAUACCGGAUGGUUGUUUGAACCGCAUGGUUCAAACAUAAAAGGUGGCUUUGGCUACCACUUACAGAUGGACCCGCGGCGCAUUAGCUAGUUGGUGAGGUAACGGCUCACCAAGGCGACGAUGCGUAGCCGACCUGAGAGGGUGAUCGGCCACACUGGGACUGAGACACGGCCCAGACUCCUACGGGAGGCAGCAGUAGGGAAUCUUCCGCAAUGGACGAAAGUCUGACGGAGCAACGCCGCGUGAGUGAUGAAGGUUUUCGGAUCGUAAAGCUCUGUUGUUAGGGAAGAACAAGUACCGUUCGAAUAGGGCGGUACCUUGACGGUACCUAACCAGAAAGCCACGGCUAACUACGUGCCAGCAGCCGCGGUAAUACGUAGGUGGCAAGCGUUGUCCGGAAUUAUUGGGCGUAAAGGGCUCGCAGGCGGUUUCUUAAGUCUGAUGUGAAAGCCCCCGGCUCAACCGGGGAGGGUCAUUGGAAACUGGGGAACUUGAGUGCAGAAGAGGAGAGUGGAAUUCCACGUGUAGCGGUGAAAUGCGUAGAGAUGUGGAGGAACACCAGUGGCGAAGGCGACUCUCUGGUCUGUAACUGACGCUGAGGAGCGAAAGCGUGGGGAGCGAACAGGAUUAGAUACCCUGGUAGUCCACGCCGUAAACGAUGAGUGCUAAGUGUUAGGGGGUUUCCGCCCCUUAGUGCUGCAGCUAACGCAUUAAGCACUCCGCCUGGGGAGUACGGUCGCAAGACUGAAACUCAAAGGAAUUGACGGGGGCCCGCAC
RNAcentral lists this ribosomal RNA (888 nucleotides) under Bacillus subtilis. RNAcentral's name for it is "bacterial SSU rRNA". It matches the Rfam family "Bacterial small subunit ribosomal RNA", at positions 57 to 926 of the family's 1533-position model. Lineage: Bacteria; Bacillati; Bacillota; Bacilli; Caryophanales; Bacillaceae. The record is from RNAcentral.